RNAcentral lists this ribosomal RNA (490 nucleotides) under uncultured bacterium. RNAcentral's name for it is "bacterial SSU rRNA". It matches the Rfam family "Bacterial small subunit ribosomal RNA", at positions 29 to 517 of the family's 1533-position model. The record is from RNAcentral.
AUUGAACGCUGGCGGCAUGCCUUACACAUGCAAGUCGAACGGUAGAAGGAGCAAUCCUUCGAGAGUGGCGAACGGGUGAGUAAUACAUCGGAACGUACCUGGUAGUGGGGGAUAGCCCGGCGAAAGCCGGAUUAGUACCGCAUAAGACCUGAGGGUGAAAGCGGGGGACCGUAAGGCCUCGCGCUACCGGAGCGGCCGAUGUCAGAUUAGCUAGUUGGUAGGGUAAAGGCCUACCAAGGCCACGAUCGGUAGCUGGUCUGAGAGGAUGAUCAGCCACACUGGGACUGAGACACGGCCCAGACUCCUACGGGAGGCAGCAGUGGGGAAUAUUGGACAAUGGGCGCAAGCCUGAUCCAGCAAUGCCGCGUGUGUGAAGAAGGCCUGCGGGUUGUAAAGCACUUUCAGUGGGGAAGAACAGAUUCGGGUCAAUACCCCGGAGCCCUGACGUUACCCACAGAAGAAGCACCGGCUAACUCCGUGCCAGCAGCCG